CAGAAUUGUUAUGAAAUUCAAGCCAAGCGGUGUUCUUAUAGAAGCAAGCCCCUUGCCACUGAAUAGCGUUCUCAGGAGAGGAGACAGCUCCGACGAAAGUCGGAAGGAGAUCAGCGGCGUUGUUGAGAUAGUUAAGAAUCGGCCAUGAAACCUGUCUGGGUAGCAGCGGAAGCACGUCGAUAGGGGAAAACGGUGAUUUCAGGGCCUGUGGUUGGGAUGAG
Molecule: unclassified non-coding RNA, 221 nt
Filed under: Hevea brasiliensis (rubber tree)
Lineage: Eukaryota; Viridiplantae; Streptophyta; Magnoliopsida; Malpighiales; Euphorbiaceae
Source: RNAcentral